ACCUCCGUACGGGAGGCAGCAGGUGGGGAAUAUUGCACGAAUGGGCGCAAGCCUGAUGCAGCCAUGCCGCGUGUAUGAAGAAGGGCCUUCGGGUUGAUAAAGUACUUUCAGCAGUGAGGAAGGUGGGUAUGUUAAUAGCAUAUUCAUUUGACGUUAGCUGCAGAAGAAGCACCGGCUAACUCCGUGCCAGCAGCCGCGGUAAUACGGAGGGUGCGAGCGUUAAUCGGAAUUACUGGGCGUAAAGCGCAUGCAGGUGGUUUGUUAAGUCAGAUGUGAAAGCCCGGGGCUCAACCUCGGAAUUGCAUUUGAAACUGGCAAACUAGAGUACUGUAGAGGGGGGUAGAAUUUCAGGUGUAGCGGUGAAAUGCGUAGAGAUCUGAAGGAAUACCGGUGGCGAAGGCGGCCCCCCUGGAUAGAUACUGACAC
Molecule: ribosomal RNA, 426 nt
Filed under: uncultured bacterium
Lineage: Bacteria
Description: bacterial SSU rRNA
Rfam family: Bacterial small subunit ribosomal RNA
Source: RNAcentral